This is a long non-coding RNA of Amphiprion ocellaris (clown anemonefish), 3359 nucleotides long. Lineage: Eukaryota; Metazoa; Chordata; Actinopteri; Pomacentridae. The record is from Ensembl.
GCAGUUUGUGUCCACAGUUUGUUCUAACGUUGCGCAGUGAAUAAAAUACAACAGUACAAAAAUCAGUUCCUCUGCGUGCUACAAAUAUCAUUAGACAGCAUGUCGGUAAAUAAAAGUUCACAGACAACAACAACAACAACAACAAUAAUAAUAAUAAUAUUAUAAACAUUCAUUUUCCCCUUCAAGUAUGCUACUAUUCAAAGUGACUAGUGUAAAAUUGGCUGAGGAAAUAAAAUAUGUUCAUGAUUAUUUACAUAUUACAGGUCCGGCAGGUGUGUGUGUGUGUGUGUAGAAUUAACAAAAACACAAUUUCAGUGUGUUUUUUGUACACAUACGCACACACACAGAUACAAAAAGACAUGCACACACACACACAGUGAAGUGACUGAUCGGUUUCCAAAUGAUAAAACGGAGCAAAAAAAAAAACAAACAAAAAAAAAACAGUUCAGCAACAUGUAAGACUCCAAAGCCUCCAUCUGAUCUCCCCGUUGAAGUUUUAAUAAAAGUCUGGAGCAGAACUAAAGUUUUCCUGUCGUCCAAUUGCUUUCAUUAGGAAUGAAAAAGAAAAAAACUAAAGAAAAUGUACUGGGAAAUGUCUGGAUGAGCAUAAAAUUAAUCUUGAAUUAAGUUUGACGAAGAAAUCCCAUCUCAAGGUCAACUUAAGCGGCUGUUUUUAGCUUUCAAGCACCACACACAUGGUCUUCUUCAGCAUAUACUGUAGGUAUAUGUAUUAUAUGUUGUUAAAUUUCAACAUGGAAGCAGCUUGUUACAUAUAAUAACAACGUAUAGACCCCUAGACACACCCGUUACUGUGUUCCUAUGAAUACAUCGAAAGAAUAGCAAAAAACUGCCAAAACAUCAAAUUCUACUGAUGUUAGAGCCUCAUAAGUUGGUGAAAUGUCGACCAAAGACUCUAUUUUAGUGGAAAUUGUGGAUCCAUCCAUAGAUAUACACACUUAUAAGUACUUUCUGGGAUCCCAAUGCUACAACUGUUUGUAAAAUUUGCACUUUUUUCCAUUUUUAAGGGGCAAAAUUAAAAGAAAUGAUGAUUUCUUCAUCGACAAGCCAAAAAGUUUGGGAGACUCCGUCGUUAAAAUCUAUUUUUCCCCAUAUAAUGACCAUAUACAGACCCCUAUACACACUAGUUUUUGUACUUCACAUCAACAUUUUGUCAAAAUAACAAAAAAAAGAAAAAAUUGAACCUUUUCUUACCAUAUAUCAAGUUCUACUCAUGUUAGAGCCUCAAAAGUUAGUGAAAUGUCGACCAAAGACUGUAUUUUAGGAGGAAAUGUGGAUCCAUCCAUAGAUAUACACACUUACAAGUACUUUCUGGGGUCCCAAUGCUACAAUUGUUUGUAAAAUUGGCACUUUUUUCCACUUUUAAUGGGCAAAAUUAAAAGAAAUGAUCAUUUCUUCAUCUAGAAGCCAAAAAGUUUGGGAGACUCUGCCGUUAAAGUCUAUUUUUGCCCAUAUAAUGACAAUAUAUAGACAUUGUACACACUAGUUUUUGUACUUCACAUCAACAUUGUCAAAAUAGCAAAAAAAAAAAAGAAAAAAAUUAAACCUUUUCUUACCAUAUAUCAAGUUCUACUCAUGUUAAAGCCUCAAAAGUUGGUGAAAUGUUGACCAAAGACUGUAUUUUUUAGGAGGAAUUAUGGAUAUAUCCAUAUUUAAACACUUACAGGAACUUUCUGAGGUCUCAAUACCAUAGAACUGUUUGAAAAUUUCCACUUUUUUUUUUUCCAUUUUCGAGGGUCAAAAGAAAAAGAAAAGAUUAUUUUUUCAUCUGGAAGCCAAAAAGGUCGGAAACAUCUGCACUUAAACUCUCUUUUUGACCAUAUGGCCCAUAUAGACCCUAUACACAUUAGUUCUUGUGCUCCACGUCACCAUUUUGUCAAAAUAGCCAAGAAAUGGACAGAAGUGAACCUUGUCUUGCUCUACUUUGCUCACAUCAAAUUCUGUUGAUGUUAGAGGCCUCAAAGGGAGCUUUUUAGGACCACAGCACCACAAUUAUUUGAAAAAAUGCAUUUUUUUUCAAUUUUCAAGGAUCAAUAAUUAAAAGGUGUGUCAUUUCUUCAUCUGGAAGCCUAACACGUUGGUAACCUCUGCAUUUAAACUCCAUUUCUGCACAUAUAAUGACAAUAUACAAACCUCUAGGCACACCAGUUUUGUCAAAACAGCAAAAAUGAACUGAAAUCAAUGGAACUUUUUCUCACCAUACAUGUCCACACAUCAAAUUCUACUGAUGUUAGAGCCUCAAAAGUUGGUGAAAUGUCGAACAAAGACUGUAUUUUAGUGGGAAAUAUGAAUACAUCCAUAUCUAUACACUUAUAGGAACAUCCUGGGGUCUCAAUGCCACAAAACUGUUUGAAAGUUUUGCACUUUUGCACUUCUAGCAAGUCCAAGUGAUUUUCUGAAACAGUGGUUUAACUGUUGAUGAAGACCAAGUGAUGCAAUGGUAAAAAAGCGAGUAAGUCGACCUUCAGCUGAGAUUCUUUUGCCCACUCUGGUAAAAUUUCUUCACUUUUCCACCUACAAGUGUGUCAACAUGCACAUGAAGUCCAGAAAAUAAAAAUCUACAACUAUGUAAGAAAAAAAUCUGAACCUACCACCAUGUAUUUCACACUUUACUCCACAACUGUGUACUCUUUUAUUGUUAGGUCUGUUAUUUGAUCUCAUUUGUUUACAGACAUCUGCUGUGCAAACAGGCCCAGACCUGGGAUCAGAAGCAGGAUGAAGCUGGACUACGAUGUGCAGUGAACACACCCGGAGGCUUGUUUCUACGACACUUUGUGGAUGACAACACGUUUAUCCUUGGAGACCAGUCGGCUGAGGGUCUCUGGUUUUAACCCUCCGAAACAAGCAGACGGUCCAUUUUUUUGCGGUUUGUCCUGGUGAAACCGAGCCGACGGCCGGUGCACCUUCACCUUAAUGCUACGACUUCAUACCAGGAGAGUAAACACACAAACCUUCAGCUUCAUUUACACAGUGGCGAUGAAUGAUUGUACACACCCAUAUACAGACAAGCAGACUUCUGGUGAACAUCUGGAGUCUAAAACACACAUCAUAUACACCAGCUGCUUUGGACAAACACUGAUAUUUUUAUGUCCAAAGACAAUUGAUGAGAGUCGCUGCAUCCGUCACAGUAAGGAUUGAAAUAUCGACAGGAAUCAAUAACACCUCAGAGCAUUAACCCUCCUGUUGUCUUCAUUUAUGGGCACCUAAAAAUAUUGUUUCCUUGUCUGAAAAAAAAUCCAAAAAUUCUGAAAAAAAAUCCCCAAAUUUCUGAAAAUUUGCAAAACCUUCAGGAAGAAAAUUCCAAUAAUUCCUUAAAAGUUUCCCUUAAAAAUUUUAUAAUA